Long non-coding RNA from Talpa occidentalis (Iberian mole), 780 nucleotides. RefSeq lists it as uncharacterized. Lineage: Eukaryota; Metazoa; Chordata; Mammalia; Eulipotyphla; Talpidae. The transcript has 3 exons. The record is from RefSeq and is a predicted model, not a curated record.
GACUUCAGGCCCAUCGCUCAUCCUUUCUGAGCCCCAUGUCAACUAUAAAAUGGGGGGCUAGCUAACUUACAGAACUGGAAAAGAGCACCUGUGUGUUGCUGGCACAAAUAUGGGUGUGCAAUGAACUUCGGUCCCCAUCUCAGGAGACGCACAGAACCAGGGUUUGACACAUGCCCCAGCUGCUCCACGAAACCUUCCUGGACCCCUUAUCUGAUGGCUGGUAGUAUUUAUUGUCCUUCUCACACUGGAAAGCCACGCUCAUGUGCUCCCACGUGCAUUCGCUCAAGCGAGUUGCUCUAACACAAAACGUCCUGGGUGCUCUCCCGGUGCAAAGCAGUAGACAGGCAUCACCGAGAGACACACGGUCCUACUCCCCACAGAGCAAGUGGGGCAGGGACACCAUGUGGAACCUCCAGCUGACAGCACCUUCCCAGGGCUCUGGGAGCCACCCGCGCAAGAACCCCCUCUUUCUUCCCCCAUCUGCCCUGAGGCCUAGAGGCAGUCUGUGUCACACAGCCUUUAGGAACUCGUCCCUACCCUGAACACACCCCCGGGAAAGCUCAUGUUCCAGAUCAGGAAGCUGCAGCUCAGAAGCAAAGCAACUUGCUAUGACCCCCCACUAUGGGAGAAGGAAGUUAUGGCUCUUUGGAAAAUUGAAAAUAUUUCCUGUGAUGCACUGGGGAGCUAUGGCAUAAGAAGUUCCCUUGACCUCGAGGUUGAAAGCCCUGAUCAGCCACUCAUAGGCUGAGUUGCUUUGCUGUCCUUCACAAAGUAGACAGA